RNAcentral lists this ribosomal RNA (442 nucleotides) under uncultured bacterium. Its description in RNAcentral is "partial 16S ribosomal RNA". It matches the Rfam family "Bacterial small subunit ribosomal RNA", at positions 338 to 795 of the family's 1533-position model. The record is from RNAcentral.
CCUACGGGAGGCAGCAGUAGGGAAUCUUUCACAAUGGGCGAAAGCCUGAUGGAGCAACGCCGCGUGCAGGAUGAAGGCCUUCGGGUUGUAAACUGCUUUUAUAAGCGAGAAAUAUGAUGGUAACUUAUGAAUAAGGAUCGGCUAACUACGUGCCAGCAGCCGCGGUCAUACGUAGGAUCCGAGCAUUAUCCGGAGUGACUGGGUGUAAAGAGUUGCGUAGGUGGCAUAAUAAGUAGCUAGUGAAAUCUGGUGGCUCAAACAUUCAGACUAGUAGCUAAACUGUUAAGCUCGAGUGCGUUAGGGGCAUCUGGAAUUGCUAGUGUAGGAGUGAAAUCCGUAGAUAUUAGAAGGAACACCAGGAGCGUAGGCAGGAUGCUGGGACGGUUCUGACACUAAGGCACGAAAGCGUAGGGAGCAAACGGGAUUAGAUACCCCGGUAGUC